This 428-nucleotide ribosomal RNA is filed under the name uncultured bacterium. RNAcentral describes it as "bacterial SSU rRNA". It matches the Rfam family "Bacterial small subunit ribosomal RNA", at positions 917 to 1344 of the family's 1533-position model. The record is from RNAcentral.
GGGCCCGCACAAGCGGUGGAGCAUGUGGUUUAAUUCGAUGCAACGCGAAGAACCUUACCAUCCCUUGACAUCCAGUGAACUUUCUAGAGAUAGAUUGGUGCCUUCGGGAACACUGAGACAGGUGCUGCAUGGCUGUCGUCAGCUCGUGUUGUGAGAUGUUGGGUUAAGUCCCGCAACGAGCGCAACCCUUAUCCUUAGUUGCCAGCACGUAAUGGUGGGAACUCUGGGGAGACUGCCGGUGAUAAACCGGAGGAAGGUGGGGACGACGUCAAGUCAUCAUGGCCCUUACGGGAUGGGCUACACACGUGCUACAAUGGCGCGUACAAAGGGCAGCGAACCUGCGAAGGUAAGCGAAUCUCAUAAAGCGCGUCGUAGUCCGGAUUGGAGUCUGCAACUCGACUCCAUGAAGUCGGAAUCGCUAGUAAUCG